CGCUCGAACAGCGUCAGCCUCCCACAAGUCCUCCGGCUGCAGCCAUUCAUUAGCCGACAGCAGCGCAGCGACACACCGCUAACAUGUCAGACAAGAAGCAGACCGUGGACCUGGGCUUACUAGAGGAGGACGAUGAGUUUGAAGAAUUCCCAGCUGAAGACUGGACGGGGCUGGAUGAGGAUGAAGAUGCUCAUGUCUGGGAAGACAACUGGGAUGAUGACAAUGUAGAGGACGAUUUUUCAAAUCAACUGAGGGCCGAGCUGGAAAAACAUGGUUACAAGAUGGAGACAUCAUAACGGCUGACGGGGCCUCUCAGUAACCGAUGACAUUGGAUAUGGACAUUUAUAUUUGAAUAUUAGUGGCUGACCACACAAACCACCGGAGGAGAUUUGUGGCUGUAAUUUGUUUCUCUCUUUUUUUUUUUGUAAGAAGUAUUGAUGGAAGUAAAGUGUUUGGAGAAAAACCUUC
This is a long non-coding RNA of Acanthopagrus latus (yellowfin seabream), 468 nucleotides long. RefSeq lists it as uncharacterized. The record is from RefSeq and is a predicted model, not a curated record. Lineage: Eukaryota; Metazoa; Chordata; Actinopteri; Spariformes; Sparidae. The transcript is spliced from 3 exons.